Molecule: ribosomal RNA, 462 nt
Filed under: uncultured bacterium
Lineage: Bacteria
Description: partial 16S ribosomal RNA
Rfam family: Bacterial small subunit ribosomal RNA
Source: RNAcentral
CGCCAGACUCCUACGGGAGGCAGCAGUGGGGGAUAUUGCACAAUGGGGGGAACCCUGAUGCAGCGACGCCGCGUGGGUGAAGGAGCACCUCGGUGCGUAAAGCCCUAUCGGCAGGGAAGAAAAGCGAACAGGUUCGCCUGGACGGUACCUGACUAAGAAGCCCCGGCUAACUACGUGCCAGCAGCCGCGGUAAUACGUAGGGAGCAAGCGUUAUCCGGAUUUAUUGGGUGUAAAGGGUGCGUAGACGGGAAGGCAAGUUGGUUGUGAAAUCCCUCGGCUUAACUGAGGAACUGCAACCAAAACUAUCUUUCUUGAGUGCUGGAGAGGAAAGUGGAAUUCCUAGUGUAGCGGUGAAAUGCGUAGAUAUUAGGAGGAACACCAGUGGCGAAGGCGACUUUCUGGACAGUAACUGACGUUGAGGCACGAAAGUGUGGGGAGCAAACAGGAUUAGAUACCCGAGUA